This 253-nucleotide ribosomal RNA is filed under the name uncultured bacterium. RNAcentral's name for it is "partial 16S ribosomal RNA". It matches the Rfam family "Archaeal small subunit ribosomal RNA", at positions 474 to 727 of the family's 1478-position model. The record is from RNAcentral.
UACCAGCACCCCGAGUGGUCGGGACGAUUAUUGGGCCUAAAGCAUCCGUAGCCGGUCCUACAAGUCUUCCGUUAAAUCCACCUGCUCAACAGAUGGGCUGCGGAAGAUACUAUAGGGCUAGGAGGCGGGAGAGGCAAGCGGUACUCAGUGGGUAGGGGUAAAAUCCUCUGAUCCAUUGAAGACCACCAGUGGCGAAGGCGGCUUGCCAGAACGCGCUCGACGGUGAGGGAUGAAAGCUGGGGGAGCGAACAGG